Molecule: ribosomal RNA, 559 nt
Filed under: Hansenula anomala
Lineage: Eukaryota; Fungi; Ascomycota; Saccharomycetes; Phaffomycetales; Wickerhamomycetaceae
Description: LSU rRNA
Rfam family: Eukaryotic large subunit ribosomal RNA
Source: RNAcentral
UAGCGGAGGAAAAGAAACCAACAGGGAUUGCCUCAGUAACGGCGAGUGAAGCGGCAAAAGCUCAAAUUUGAAAUCUAGCACCUUCGGUGUUCGAGUUGUAAUUUGAAGAUGGUAACCUUGGGUUUGGCUCUUGUCUAUGUUCCUUGGAACAGGACGUCAUAGAGGGUGAGAAUCCCGUCUGAUGAGAUGCCCAUUCCUAUGUAAGGUGCUAUCGAAGAGUCGAGUUGUUUGGGAAUGCAGCUCUAAGUGGGUGGUAAAUUCCAUCUAAAGCUAAAUAUUGGCGAGAGACCGAUAGCGAACAAGUACAGUGAUGGAAAGAUGAAAAGAACUUUGAAAAGAGAGUGAAAAAGUACGUGAAAUUGUUGAAAGGGAAGGGCAUUAGAUCAGACUUGGUGUUUUACGAUUAUCUUCUCUUCUUGAGUUGUGCACUCGUAUUUCACUGGGCCAGCAUCGAUUCGGAUGGCAAGAUAAUGGCAGUUGAAUGUGGCUUCACUUCGGUGGAGUGUUAUAGCUUCUGCUGAUAUUGCCUGUCUGGAUCGAGGGCUGCGUCUUUGACAGA